UCUUCCUUUCUCUCCCCAGCUCCCCACCAAUGGGAACACGCUGAGGAAAGACCAAGUGAGGACAUAGUGAGAAGAUGACCAUCUGCAAGCCAGAAAGAGAGCUCUCUCAGGAACUGAGUCAGCAGCAAGCUGCAAUGAUGGAGAGUGCCACAUGGCAAGAAACUGGAGGACAUCCUCCAAUGUUACCUAGCAAGAGACUGGGACCACUAUUACUACAGCCUACAAAGAACUGAGGGCUCUCAACAAUCAUGUGAACUUGGAAGAGGAUUUUUCCCCUGUCAAACUUCAGAUGAGACCACAGCCUCAGAGAAUGUCCUGAAUAUCAAGGGAGAUCUCUUCCACCAUGUGAGGUUACAGCAAGAAGAUGAACAUAUAUGAACCAGGAAAAGGGUUCUCACCAGACACUGAAUCUGCUGGUGCCUUGAUCUUGGAUUUCCAGUCUCUAAAACCGUAAGAAAUAAAUUUCUGUUGUUUGUAAGCUAAAACAAACAAAAAAAAAAGUGGAGGGGAAAGAUCAGUUAGGAGAUGCU
Long non-coding RNA from Orcinus orca (killer whale), 530 nucleotides. RefSeq lists it as uncharacterized. The transcript is spliced from 3 exons. The record is from RefSeq and is a predicted model, not a curated record. Lineage: Eukaryota; Metazoa; Chordata; Mammalia; Artiodactyla; Delphinidae.